UACCUUAUAAUAAAAAUGUAUGUAGCAGUAACUGGGACCAACAAGCCUGCAGCUUCAACUGGCCCAGAGAUCAACCAAGUCAAGGAUGCCUACAUCAUAGCUGUGGAAGAUGAGGCCAAAAAGAGGCUUGAAAAAAUCUCCUCCCGUCACCAAGUCGUCCCCGUGGAUAUGACAAAACUGUCACACGGCAGCAGUGCAAGCAGCAGUUCUUCCACCACUAGUACUACACGUGCAGAAAUUCUCGUGGACUGUCGUAAGUUAGCUGUAGAGAAUCCUGCAUAUGAACCGUCUUUGCUAUCUAGUUCAUCACACCAUCAAUUUGUUGGAAAUGGACAAGUAGAAAACACCACAGACAUGAAUGGGUUUGCAGAAUUGGACACGCCCCGAAAAGGGAAGAAAAAAGACAGUAAACGAAGCAGUAAAUCUAGUAAUAACAGUGGAACAGAUUCUCCAUUUAUAGAGACUAUCAGUGGCCACAAUGUUCUCAAGCGGCGAAGUCAAAAUUCCCUUAAUAGGUCACGUGAUGAUGUGCAAGAAUUUGAGGAUAGUAUGAGUGACGCUUACAUGCAAAGUUCGUUUGAGGUUGAGUUUGAUGACUCAGGUCCUCAUCGUGAAAUGGCAAUUGAUUGCCCGGAUGAUUUCCCUCCAGCUGUGAAGUCACCCCCUCGGUAUCCCCCUCCUCCUCACUCACAGUCGUCCUCAACACGUUCGCUCCCACGUGCCCCUCCCUCAACCCCUGCCAAGUCAUUAGAUCUUGCCAAUAACACAACCUCAACAGACAAUACGUUAGAGUUUGUGGCAAAUUCCGUCUCAAACGGCCAUCAGAAUUUAAGUGAAGACCAAGUGGAACGGAUACGUAAACACCAAGAAGAGCUACGCAAGCGCAGGGAUGAGGAAAUCAGGAGAGCGCAAGAGCAAGAGUUCCUCAGGACUUCACUCCGGCGUUCUAAGAAACUGCAAGCACUGGAGACCUCGAUGAAGCAGACUCCAGUUGUGGGAGUGGUCAACACGGCAUAUGAGGAGAAUGACGAUGAGGUGGAGGUGCUAGAUGACGGCUUCGGCAGUGCCCGGGGAUCAUCACAACGGGACAAAUACAUGAAGAAAAAUAUAGGAGUAGACGAUUUAUUUUCAACGCUGCAUCACAUACAGAGCCGACUUAAUGCUGCUGAGGAAAGAGAUGAACUCUCUUUUUUGAAAAACUUGUUUCACAGCAGUGAGUUUCAAAAUGCUGUACAUGUGCACAGUAAAAUUACAGACAUUUCUCGGCAAUCUCCACCCAACAAGCCAGAGUGUACAAAUGCUGUACAGAUUUCUAAUGAGGUGUUCCAGGCACUGCAGUACACAGAGUCUCCAUACUCGUCAGAUCUGAUGGACAUGCUCAGUCAGCCAGGACUGCGGAACCUUCUGCGAGCCCAUGAUAGUAUAGCAGAACAAACCUCCAAGCCAGCCGUCCACGAGAAUGUGGAUGACCUGCAGGACUAUCCAAUCACCUCUUAUGGAGAGGAUACAGUACGAAUUGUCUACCUGGAGAAGACCAGUGAGCCCUUGGGUGCUACUGUACGUAAUGACGGGGAGGCCAUCAUUAUUGGGCGGAUAGUCAAAGGAGGUACAGCGGAAAAGAGUGGCCUAUUACAUGAGGGAGAUGAAAUUCUAGAAGUAAAUGGAGCGGAAAUGAGAGGCAAAAAUAUCAAUGAUGUAUCUGACAUGCUGGCUGACAUGACAGGCACCAUCACUUUCAUGAUCAUUCCAUCUGCCAAUUUUGCCAAAACCUCCUCAAAUGGCCCAGUGAUGCAUGUGAAGGCCUUGUCUAACUACGAUCCUGAGGAUGACAUCCUGAUCCCCUGUCGGGAGCUCGGUAUCUCUUUCAUGAAGGGAGAUAUCCUCCAUGUGAUUAACCAGGAAGACCCCAACUGGUGGCAGGCAUACCGGGAAGGGGAGGAAGAGCACCAGUCUCUGGCUGGGCUUAUCCCGUCCCGUCACUUCAGACAGCAAGUUGAAGCCAAUAGGAAAAUUUUAGCUGGUGAAAACAAAGAAAAUCAAAAGACGGGACGGUCAUGUGCCUGUGGAAAGAAAGAUAAAAAGAAAAAGAAGAAGUCAUUGUAUAGGGAAACAGAUGAUACAGAGGAAGCCCUGACCUACGAGGAGGUUGUUCAGUACUACCCACAACCCAACAAGAAGCGCCCGAUUGUUCUGAUAGGUCCUCCAAAUGUAGGUCGCCAUGAACUUAGACAGAGACUCAUGGAGUCCGACUUGGACCGAUUUGCUGCUGCUGUCCCUCACACUAGCCGUCCACAGGAAGAGCAUGAAGUGGAUGGGAAGGAUUACCAUUUUGUACCUCGUGCCAUAUUUGAGGCAGACAUCAUUGGACGAAAGUUUAUAGAGCAAGGAGAGUUCCAGAAGUCAUUGUAUGGCACAACAUUUGGUGCAGUCAGACAGGUCAUCAACCAGGGCAGGAUUUGUAUCCUCAACCUUCAUGCUGAGACUUUGAGAGAGUUAUAUACAUCCGACCUGAAACCGUAUGUGAUUUUAGUGUAUCCACAAAACAUGGAGAAACUGAGACAAAUUCAACAACGACUGGGACAGACCAAAAUCACUGAUGAGGAUCUGAAGGAUACUGUUGAUCGAGCACGUGAGAUGGAAGACAAGUAUGGACACCUGGUCGACUUCAUCCUCGUCAACUCAGACAUGGACUUGGCAUAUGAGGAGCUCCUCAAAGAAAUAAAUCGGAUAGAGGUGGAGCCUCAGUGGGUACCCGCCCACUGGCUGACGAGUGACAGGUGACUUCUCUCCCUGAAGACAAGAUAGUGGUGUCACUUGAUGGUUAACACUGCCCAUUUAUAGAUGAACAACUCCAUCCAUACAUUGACAUUAUUUUCUGAAGGAUAAGGUACAGGAUGUAGGGGGGGCAGAAAGGCCCUGUAAUCCAUUGACAUGUGACCUUCCCCAGUUUGGUAAUGGAAGAGUCAAUGUCAAGGCUCCCUCUGUGAAUCAGUUAUUUGAUUGGCUCCUAAUAGUAUACCUCAAGAUAACAAUGAGGUACAGCAUAAUCAGCCCAUUAGGAGAACAGGGAUGUGUAUUUAGCUAGAUGUAUACCUAGUCCUAAGAGUGUAUGCCUUUCGUAGGAUUUUAGGACGGUUUUAUUGUGUACAGAAAGUGCUCUAGAGAGUGGAAUCAUGUAAUCUUCCAUAGUUUUAAUAUUUUUAAACUACCAGAUAGACUACGCACAUAACAUAAUUUGUAUAUGGAACUAAUGUUAUGAGGAUCAGCUUGCCAUUAAUAAUUGUGAAAUCAGAUCAAAAUAACAAGGUAAGAAAUUAACACUGCUAAACACUGGAUGUUGGGUGUACAUAUGCAUACCUACUAUGUACCCAGAUGGGUGGAUGACCAAGAUAUAGCUACCAGCUCUGCUAGAAAAAAAACUGUUUUAUAGGAAUUACAGUCCGUCUUUAUAUCUUUUAUCUAGUACAGAAACAAUAAACAUAACAUGGUAUUCAGGAUAGAUACUAUAUAGAUGUCUAGUAGAAUCACACAGAAAUAUGAUAUGUAUAAGGAUACAGUAUAAUAUUAAGUUUUUGCAGCAUAUUUACUUUUGCAGCUUUUGUCGUUGAAGUCGAACCACAAAACAUACGAGUAAUUUAAUUGACUCCACCGGUAUUUCAAAAGAGCAGAACUGUCCUUACUGCGACAGAAACUACCCAAAAAGGUUUGAUCAUAUUGUAUUACAGUACAAACUUAACAAUUGUAUUAAUGUAGGGAAGUGAAAUCACAGAGUUGGGUUAGCAUACAGGAAAUGUCAAAGGUUGGCUAGGAUACAAGAUAGGUCAAAGGUUGGCUAGGAUACAGGAUAGCUGAGAGGUUUGAUAGGAUACAGGAUAGAUCAGGUUUAAUAGGAUACAGGUUAGGUCAGAGGUUGACAAGGAUACAGAAUAGGUCAGAGGUUGACAAGGAUACAGGAAAUGUCAAAGGUUGACUAGGAUAUAUUAAAUGUAAAAGGUUGACUAGGAUACAGGAAAUGUCAAAGGUUGACUAGGAUACAGGAAACGUCAAAGGUUGACUAGGAUACAGGAAAUGUCAAAUGUUGGCUAGGAUACAGCAAACAUCAAAGGUUGACUAGGAUACAGGAUAGGUCAAAGGUUGACUAGGAUACAGGAUAGGUCAGAGGUUGAAUAGUAUACAGGAUAGGUCAGGUUUAAUAGGAUACAGGAUAGGUCAGAGGUUUAAUAGGAUACAUGAUAGGUCAGGUUUAAUAGGAUACAGGUUAGGUCAGAGGUUGACAAGGAUACAGGAUAGGUCAGAGGUUGACAAGGAUACAGGAUAGGUCAGAGGUUGACACGGAUACAGGAUAGGUCAGAGGUUGACAUACAGGAUAGGUCAACAAGUAUACCGAUAGUUCAGAGGGGUCAAAGGUUGACAAAGAUACAUGAUAUGUCAGAGAUUGGCUGGGAUACAUUAUAGGUCAGAGAUUGGCUUGGAUACAUGAUAAUUGAGAGUUUGUUAGCAUAUUUUCAUUGUUGUAUGCAGAUUGUCAUAACUUUUCAUUUAUUUUACAUAUUUUAUGAAGUGUCUUCCGGUUGACUGUUUUUUUAAAGACAUAUUUUAUUCAUCGGUUGAAAAGUCCAGUCUAGUUCCUGUUCCUUAUUCGGCUGAUAUCAAGUGCCACAUGUACAUCUAAUCACUGUGUUAUACAUCAUCAUGUGUAUGCUGGGUAAAAGUUGACUGUGGAACAGGACCUGGACCACACAGUGACAUGUGUACAGUGUCUAGAUACACGUCCAUCUGUCUGGCUUGUUUUUCUUGAUAGAAUUGCAUUCCAUCCAUUCAAUAUAAAUUAUAUAUAUUCUUAUUGUUAAUAACAUUGUUAUCCGUCAAUUCUGAUAACAUUCACAUAUCAUCCAGACAUUUAUAUUUGCUGAACAGAGUGUUUCUGUCUCUGUUUACUUUUGAGUAGGAACUGCGUCCUUCUUGUAAAUUUCAAAAUUUCUUCCUUUAAUCAUGUGAUAUCUAUCGACGUCACUAUGACGUACCAGUGGUAUCAAGCAUCUCUAGUUAAUAAUGAUUUCUUGAAACUGCGGAAGUGCAAGUAUUUGUGUGUCUUGUAUCAGGGCAUUCUUUUUAUCCAUAGACUGUUUGAAGUUGUAAUAAUUACAAAGAAAUCAUAGAUUUAAAUGUUGUUCAAUUGUAUAGAUAAACCAAUGAAUCGAGAAAGACCUGAUUCCUGGUUGUAUAGAUGUACAUGCUCACUUUGUCUACAUAGGCCAGGUUUCCUGGACAUACAGCUGUACAUCAGAACCAUACCUGCUGUGGAAUGUUGAGAGCACUACACUGGGACGUCUAUAUACAAUGUAUUCUAAAGUAUAAAUCAACAGUUAACAAGUUUUAUAUAACAUUUCAGAAUGUUUUCAUUUCUGAACAUAACCUUUGUGUAGAUAUUUAUGUAUUGAAAAGUUUACGUACUUCAAAGGAAGGAAGCACACAAUUCUAUAUAAUGUUUUUAUACAUAGAGCAAGCAUGUUCAAGGUUCGUGUGUAGAAACUUCUAACGACAAGUAGCACAAGUUCUUUUUAGUGAACUUUUAUGGUUGUUUAAAUAUUAAUUCAAAUUGGUUGUUUAUAUAUGUAUCAACAUUAAACAAGGGACACAAGGACAGUUGUUUUCUAAGUCAAGGUCGACAUAAUAUUAUGUCGGUUCAUGUUUUAUACUGUUAUUGCGUCAUUUUCUAUUCCUCAUUAAUACAUUUAAAGGUUAGUUGUGAGAAUGAGUUUUUGCCCAAAUUAACUGAUAUAUUACGCCGUUUGUAUAGGAACUACUCACAUUAAUGCGUUUUGGUUGCAUUACUGUACAUGUACCAAAUAUAACCAUUAUAUAGAAACUUAAAACCUAUAAUACCUCUGUCAUUCUAACUGUUCAAUGUGGACAAUGAUUAAUUACAUCAUGGUUGUGAGAUAAUAAGUAUCAGUCAACAGACAUUGUGUCAUUUGAUCCAAGCAGACAACCAAAUUCUAUAACCAGAACCCUUCCUGGAUAGGUUUCUCAAAUCUCUUCAUACAAGUUCAGUUGAAACAUUUUCCCAUAUAGCAGACCAUUGCACCUGUACUGGUGGAAAACAGCGCUGUUGGUAACUUUAUUAAAGUCAAAGGAUUCUGUCAGAAUUUUAAAUUACAGAGAAAAAUAUCGAACUUUUUUCUUUGAGAAUAAAUUAGAUUUUUUAUUUUUUUAUGUUUUCUGUAAAACAAUUAGUAUGCAUGGUAAUAUAAAGGAAAGCAUGCAUGCUUUUUCUGAUUAAUGUAGGAAAGGAGGAGGUACAUGUUUUAAUCACGGUGCUAAAAUAUACAUUGAACAUGUCUACUUGCCUUUUAUGUGAAAUGAUUUAGAAUUUCUGUGUUGUAAUGUUGGGAUGUCGUCACAUAUCUGGUAGCCAUUCUUAAACAGGUAACAAGAUGAAAUCAUGUGUAUUAAUGUAAUGUAAACCAGCACAAUCAUGUAAAAUGUAGUUUAUAGUUAAGUUUGUACACAUUUACAAGGGAAGAGAUAAUGUUUUUUUAUGAUUAUGUCUCCAAAGAGAAACAAAUGUAAAACAGAAAAACAAAUGUAAAACAGAAAAACAAAUGUAAAACAGAAUUCUUACAAAUACAUGAUGAAAAUAAGUUAAAUUUCAAGUCACUCCAUCUGAGACUCAGUCUGGAAAUCUUGUACAAUUUGCCUUUUUUCAGUGUCAAUAUUAAAAUAGUUUGAAAAUGUAUUACUUCACUUUGGCUCAAAUAUAUUGAAUCGUUUUGUAUAAAACUUGUUUAGUAUGCUUAUUCUCACGAUUGAUCUGUGUGCUGUCCGUCUUGUUAACACUCUGCUUGUUAUAAUCACGUAUAGGUUGUUUAUAGUGCUGGCGUAUUACAUUUCAUGGAUUCAUCUUGUGUUAUCAAGCAUAUAAACAUUUCAUGACAACAAGAAAAUAGACUUUCCUGAUUUCUCCAUCACAUGUUUUAGAAUUUAUUGUUGUGUUAUCAUCAUGAAUUUUUCAAUUGAUGCGUAAGCUGGGCUCAAUUUUACAUAUAUAUAACAGACAUUAAAAUUUAAGGUUUAUUUUAAUUUCUUUGCUAUUAUAUAUAAUUAAUUUCAACUGUGAAAGAAAUACACAUCACUUCAAUAUCUUUCAAUCAAUAAAUACUGACUUUGAUUGACAUGCAAACAGAAAAUUACUAACAUUACUAAAUUUGAAAACAGUUUUAAUAUUUGCCUUUUUUUUAUUCAGAAAUAUAAUUACAUGAAGUAAGUUCAUUAAGCUGCAUUGUGUACAGCUGUACUUCGUUGACAGGUUUUAUUUGGAAAUUGAAGUACAGAGAUGCAGUUAAGUUCAAUAAUUAAAGAUGUAACAGAUUAUGUAAAUUGAGCUGAAGAGAAUGUUACCAGAGUUGAUAUUAUUGUCUGUACAGAUUUUUAUGUUAUUACGUAUGUGGAUAGAAUGUUUAAAGUGACAGAAGAUAGGUUAAUUGGAUGGCUUAGGAUGGCACUAGUGAACUCUAGGGCCAGGUUGUAGGUUUGUGUGCUAUACUGCACUGUUAGUGAAGACAGUUCCUCCAAGAUUAUAUUUUCUGCUGGUGACACCCAUACAUAUGAAAGAAUAAUUGUAUAGGUUUGAUUCUCAUUAUUUCCAUUUUAUCAAGUAUGAAAACAGCCCUUUAUACAUGUAAUGUUUUGUUUGUUUAAUAUUGCUUAUGUUUCCAAUCUCUAACAGAGGUGAGUGGUUAUUAGUAGGCCCAACCCUUUUUGUGUAAUGUAAACCUGGCUGUGCUUCGUAGCUUGUAGGUACAGUGGGCAACAUGGAACACGAUAAGGGAGGUGUUUGGAUGAUGCUUCAAAGUCCAGAUAACUUUGUCAGAACACUUGUAAAUCUGUCACAAGCGAACAAACUGUUGUCAAUGAUGAGGUAAAUGUAAUUGUGACAUGUUGACCUUAAAAGUAGUCAGGGAGAAGUUUGUUAUAUUUUGUGGAAAGUUUAUUGAACAAAACAGUGCAAUGAAUUUAUUUUUUGUCAAGUUACAAACAUAUAGAGAAGAUAGAAAAUGUGUAAACCACAGUUAUAAAUACAGUUAUUAUUUUGUAAAUAGGCUAUAUGAGUGUACAUAUUUGUUUUGUAAGAAAAUCCACACUAGUAAGUAAUCUUCUGAUAUACGGGACUGGUUUUCUAUAUUGUAGGUCAUGAUUGAUCACAUUGCAAAUACAAUAAAUACAAUUAUUUUCAUACACAUAACAUUGCUAUAUAUGAUGUAACUUAUUCAGACUGUACAGAUAUGUACCACAGAUAUUAAAGCUGUCAAGCAAGA
Molecule: unclassified non-coding RNA, 8318 nt
Filed under: Mizuhopecten yessoensis (Yesso scallop)
Lineage: Eukaryota; Metazoa; Mollusca; Bivalvia; Pectinida; Pectinidae
Description: mAGUK p55 subfamily member 5-like, transcript variant X1
Source: RNAcentral